CUCCUGGAAACGGGUGGUAAUGCCGGAUGUUCCAGUUGAUCGCAUGGUCUUCUGGGAAAGCUUUCGCGGUAUGGGAUGGGGUCGCGUCCUAUCAGCUUGACGGCGGGGUAACGGCCCACCGUGGCUUCGACGGGUAGCCGGCCUGAGAGGGCGACCGGCCACAUUGGGACUGAGAUACGGCCCAGACUCCUACGGGAGGCAGCAGUGGGGAAUAUUGCACAAUGGGCGCAAGCCUGAUGCAGCGACGCCGCGUGAGGGAUGGAGGCCUUCGGGUUGUAAACCUCUUUUAUCGGGGAGCAAGCGUGAGUGAGUUUACCCGUUGAAUAAGCACCGGCUAACUACGUGCCAGCAGCCGCGGUAAUACGUAGGGCGCAAGCGUUAUCCGGAAUUAUUGGGCGUAAAGGGCUCGUAGGCGGUUCGUCGCGUCCGGUGUGAAAGUCCAUCGCUUAACGGUGGAUCCGCGCCGGGUACGGGCGGGCUUGAGUGCGGUAGGGGAGACUGGAAUUCCCGGUGUAACGGUGGAAUGUGUAGAUAUCGGGAAGAACACC
RNAcentral lists this ribosomal RNA (548 nucleotides) under uncultured Bifidobacterium sp. Its description in RNAcentral is "bacterial SSU rRNA". It matches the Rfam family "Bacterial small subunit ribosomal RNA", at positions 147 to 710 of the family's 1533-position model. The record is from RNAcentral. Lineage: Bacteria; Bacillati; Actinomycetota; Actinomycetes; Bifidobacteriales; Bifidobacteriaceae.